GCAUCGUUGGUGCAGGGGUAGCAUAGUUGCCUUCCAAGCAACUGGGAGGGGUUCGAGUCCCCUACGAUGCA
This 71-nucleotide transfer RNA is filed under the name Morchella conica CCBAS932. It matches the Rfam family "tRNA". From Rfam's summary of the family: Transfer RNA (tRNA) molecules are approximately 80 nucleotides in length. Their secondary structure includes four short double-helical elements and three loops (D, anti-codon, and T loops). Lineage: Eukaryota; Fungi; Ascomycota; Pezizomycetes; Pezizales; Morchellaceae. The record is from Rfam by way of RNAcentral.